Molecule: long non-coding RNA, 222 nt
Organism: Solanum stenotomum
Lineage: Eukaryota; Viridiplantae; Streptophyta; Magnoliopsida; Solanales; Solanaceae
Exons: 2
Source: RefSeq, a predicted model, not a curated record
UGCACCCGAUAAGUUGUUGUAUGCAAUACUGAAUACUGCCAAAUAAUUUAGCUCAAGUAGACCAACAGGAAUGCUCCCAUUCAAUCUGUUGUAGGAAAGGUCUAAACUCUCGAUUUCCUGUAGAUUGGAGAAGGUAUUUGGUAUUCUUCCGUUGAGAUGGUUGUGUGAUAGAUUCAAUGCAUGUAUAUUGCUCAUGUUCCCUAGCUCAACGGGAAUUUCACC